CCAAAGGCCCUUUUCAGGGCCAACCACAUUCUUUUAAAAGAGCUG
Molecule: non-coding RNA, 45 nt
Organism: Sarcophilus harrisii (Tasmanian devil)
Lineage: Eukaryota; Metazoa; Chordata; Mammalia; Dasyuromorphia; Dasyuridae
Source: Rfam